This 372-nucleotide long non-coding RNA is filed under the name Zostera marina. RNAcentral's name for it is "long non-coding RNA (ZMAR_LNC004998)". Lineage: Eukaryota; Viridiplantae; Streptophyta; Magnoliopsida; Alismatales; Zosteraceae. The record is from RNAcentral.
CCUUGUUUCGUACUUUGACUUUUUUCAUUACUUCUGCUUGUUUUGUUUUCCCUUUCAUCCUUGCUCGUGUUUCCCUUGCCUGACAGCCCGUCCUCCGAUGGGCUGAUGUUUCUCUUUUUUUUUUAAGGUCGUGCUUUUGUUUUUUCUACCCGACGCGAUAAGUGGACUAUCUUCGGACGACAUAGUUGCCCUAAGGCACUUUUAGCAGGUGGUCUUGUUCCCUGGUCCUCCGACGAUAUUUCCUUACGGCAUUUUGGCGGGUGACCUCAUUUGGUCUUUUGACCUUGUUGUCCUGAGGCUUUUUUAUUUUAUUUUGGCGGGUGGCCUCAUUUGGUCUUUUGACCUCAUCGCCCUAAGGCUUUUUUCAUUUUG